GACGAACGUUGGCGGCGCGCUUAAUGCAUGCAAGUCGAACGAGAACCGCUCGUCUCGUAAGAGACGGACGGGGACAGUGGCGAACGGGUGCGUAACACGUGAGAAACCUGCCCCGAAGAUCGGGAUAGCCCGGGGAAACCCGGAUUAAUACCGGAUACCCUCGUGGGGUCGCAUGACCUCGCAAGGAAAUGGUCCGCCGCUUCGGGAUGGUCUCGCGGCCUAUCAGCUUGUUGGUGAGGUAACGGCUCACCAAGGCAGCGACGGGUAGCUGGUCUGAGAGGACGAUCAGCCACACUGGGACUGAGACACGGCCCAGACUCCUACGGGAGGCAGCAGCAGGGAAUAUUGCACAAUGGGCGAAAGCCUGAUGCAGCGACGCCGCGUGCGGGAUGAAUGCCUUCGGGUUGUAAACCGCUUUCAGGAGGGACGAAAAUGACGGUACCUCCAGAAGAAGGCCCGGCCAACUACGUGCCAGCAGCCGCGGUAACACGUAGGGGCCGAACGUUGUCCGGAUUUAUUGGGCGUAAAGGGCUCGUAGGCGGUUUGACAAGUCGGUCGUGAAAACCCGGGGCUCAACCCCGGGACGCCGAUCGAAACUGUCAUGACUAGGGU
This 612-nucleotide ribosomal RNA is filed under the name uncultured bacterium. RNAcentral's name for it is "bacterial SSU rRNA". It matches the Rfam family "Bacterial small subunit ribosomal RNA", at positions 28 to 647 of the family's 1533-position model. The record is from RNAcentral.